AACCGUGAUUCCGGGAGUAGUGGUGAGCGAAACCGGAGGAGGCUAAACCGUAUGUGUGUGAGACCCGGCAGGGGUUGCGCAUGCGGGGUUGUGGGAGCUCACUUCAGUCGUCUGCCGGCGGCUGGGCGAGUCAGAAAUUGUGGGUGUAGGCGAAGGGCAUGCGAAAGGCCUGGCGUAGAGGGUAAGACCCCCGUAGCUGAAACAUCUGCAACUCGCUUGUGGGUUUCCCAAGUAGCAUGGGGCCCGAGAAAUCCUGUGUGAAUCUGGCGGGACCACCCGUCAAGCCUAAAUAUUCCCUGGUGACCGAUAGCGGAUAGUAC
This 320-nucleotide non-coding RNA is filed under the name Streptomyces sp. NRRL F-6602. RNAcentral's name for it is "bacterial LSU rRNA". It matches the Rfam family "Bacterial large subunit ribosomal RNA", at positions 227 to 501 of the family's 2925-position model. Lineage: Bacteria; Bacillati; Actinomycetota; Actinomycetes; Kitasatosporales; Streptomycetaceae. The record is from RNAcentral.